RNAcentral lists this ribosomal RNA (448 nucleotides) under uncultured bacterium. Its description in RNAcentral is "bacterial SSU rRNA". It matches the Rfam family "Bacterial small subunit ribosomal RNA", at positions 343 to 794 of the family's 1533-position model. The record is from RNAcentral.
AGGAGGCAGCAGUGGGGAAUUUUGCGCAAUGGGCGAAAGCCUGACGCAGCAACGCCGCGUGGAGGAUGAAGGCCUUCGGGUCGGAAACUCCUGUCGAUGGGGACGAAAGCCUCGCAAGAGGUGUGACUGUACCCGUUGAGGAAGCCACGGCUAACUCCGUGCCAGCAGCCGCGGUAAUACGGAGGUGGCAAGCGUUGUUCGGAAUUACUGGGCGUAAAGGGCGCGUAGGCGGCGGAACAAGUCAGAUGUGAAAGCCCCGGGCUUAACUCGGGAAUUGCAUCUGAAACUGUUUUGCUUGAGUCCUGGAGGGGAUGGUGGAAUUCCCAGUGUAGCGGUGAAAUGCGUAGAUAUUGGGAGGAACACCUGCGGCGAAGGCGGCCAUCUGGACAGUGACUGACGCUGAGGCGCGAAAGCUAGGGGAGCGAACGGGAUUAGAUACCCCGGUAGG